This 598-nucleotide long non-coding RNA is filed under the name Camarhynchus parvulus. RNAcentral describes it as "lncRNA (ENSCPVG00000017468.1)". The record is from RNAcentral. Lineage: Eukaryota; Metazoa; Chordata; Aves; Passeriformes; Thraupidae.
GGGGGCUGGGGAGGAUUUGGGGGCCGAGGGGGCACUGGGAGGGAUUUGGGGGAGCACUGUGAUCUGUGGGGGGAGGGAAUUUUGGGGGGUCAGGCAGAUUUGUGGGGAUGCACUUUGGGGUUGGGGACUGAUCUGGGGGGUUCUGGGUGGUUUUGGGGUCUCACCACCUUCUCCUUUUCCCCCCAGGACCCCCCCUGGGGCUGCCCCCUCCCCUGGGCCCGGGGCUGCUGGAGCUGCAGCAGAGCUGCUGGGAGAGCUGGAGCCUCUGGGAGGAGGUGGCACACCUGAGGAACAUGUUCGCCCUGGACUGGCAGCCGGAGUUGGGGCUCCUGCAGGUCCUGGGGGGCCCCCAGGGUGCCCAGACCCUCUGGACGCUGCAGGUGGAGCCAGGGUACCCCAAGAGCGGGGGAGUGAAACUGCUGCCCCCCCAAAGGGGCCUCCCCCAUCCCUGCACCCCCAGACCCCCCCACUCUGACACGGUGGCUGGAGCUGCUGGUGGGGGGGGGUUCCUGAAAAGGGGGGAUCCCCCUCCCAUAAAAAACCCCCUGCACCCCAAUAAACUCACGGCCACUCCUUCUCCAGCUCUGUCUCACCCCCA